This 468-nucleotide ribosomal RNA is filed under the name uncultured bacterium. RNAcentral describes it as "partial 16S ribosomal RNA". It matches the Rfam family "Bacterial small subunit ribosomal RNA", at positions 28 to 507 of the family's 1533-position model. The record is from RNAcentral.
GACGAGCGCUGGCGGCGUGCUUAACACAUGCAAGUCGAACGGAAAGGCCCUGCUUUUGUGGGGUGCUCGAGUGGCGAACGGGUGAGUAACACGUGAGUAACCUGCCCUUGACUUUGGGAUAACUUCAGGAAACUGGGGCUAAUACCGGAUAGGAGCUCCUGCUGCAUGGUGGGGGUUGGAAAGUUUCGGCGGUUGGGGAUGGACUCGCGGCUUAUCAGCUUGUUGGUGGGGUAGUGGCUUACCAAGGCUUUGACGGGUAGCCGGCCUGAGAGGGUGACCGGCCACAUUGGGACUGAGAUACGGCCCAGACUCCUACGGGAGGCAGCAGUGGGGAAUAUUGCACAAUGGGCGGAAGCCUGAUGCAGCAACGCCGCGUGCGGGAUGACGGCCUUCGGGUUGUAAACCGCUUUCGCUUGUGACGAAGCGUGAGUGACGGUAAUGGGUAAAGAAGCACCGGCUAACUACGUG